Molecule: transfer RNA, 77 nt
Filed under: Desulfurococcales archaeon
Lineage: Archaea; Thermoproteati; Thermoproteota; Thermoprotei; Desulfurococcales
Description: tRNA-Thr
Rfam family: tRNA
About the family: Transfer RNA (tRNA) molecules are approximately 80 nucleotides in length.
Source: RNAcentral
GCCGCGGUAGCUCAGCCUGGUAGAGCGCUGCCCUGGUAAGGCAGAGGUCCCGGGUUCGAAUCCCGGCCGCGGCUCCA